Molecule: transfer RNA, 85 nt
Filed under: Treponema sp.
Lineage: Bacteria; Pseudomonadati; Spirochaetota; Spirochaetia; Treponematales; Treponemataceae
Description: tRNA-Ser
Rfam family: tRNA
About the family: Transfer RNA (tRNA) molecules are approximately 80 nucleotides in length. Their secondary structure includes four short double-helical elements and three loops (D, anti-codon, and T loops). Further hydrogen bonds mediate the characteristic L-shaped molecular structure. tRNAs have two regions of fundamental functional importance: the anti-codon, which is responsible for specific mRNA codon recognition, and the 3' end, to which the tRNAs corresponding amino acid is attached (by aminoacyl-tRNA synthetases). tRNAs cope with the degeneracy of the genetic code in two manners: having more than one tRNA (with a specific anti-codon) for a particular amino acid; and 'wobble' base-pairing, i.e. permitting non-standard base-pairing at the 3rd anti-codon position.
Source: RNAcentral
GGAGCGGUGUCCGAGAGGUUGAAGGAGGCGGUCUUGAAAACCGUUGUGCCGCAAGGUACCGGGGGUUCGAAUCCCCCCUGCUCCG